GUUAUCCCACUUUCAAAUCAGGUUAUCCCAGUUUUCCUGUUUGGGAAUAUGACAACUUCUUUGUCAUUCUAAUCAAACCAGGAUGAAUCGCGAUGUGAAAUUCUGUCUUUGGAUUCAUAAAAUAGUGGAGAAUCAACUUGAAGUUGAAUAAAUCUCAUAGGAGUUAGGAUGAAGAAGUUAUCCCACAUUCAAAUCAGGUGAUCCCAGUUUUCCUGUUUGGGAAUAUGACAACUUCUUUCUCAUUCUAAUCAAACCAGGAUGAAUCGCGAUGUGAGAAGCUGUAUUUGGAUCCAUAAAGUAGUGAAGAAUCACCUUGAAGUUGAAUAAAUCUCAUAGGAGUUAGGAUGAAGAAGUUAUCCCACUUUCAAAUCAGGCGAUCCCAGUUUUCCUGUUUGGGAAUAUGACAACUUCUUUUUCAUUCUAAUCAAAC
RNAcentral lists this long non-coding RNA (430 nucleotides) under Brassica napus (rape). RNAcentral's name for it is "long non-coding RNA (BNAP_LNC011538)". Lineage: Eukaryota; Viridiplantae; Streptophyta; Magnoliopsida; Brassicales; Brassicaceae. The record is from RNAcentral.